RNAcentral lists this ribosomal RNA (1581 nucleotides) under Triticum aestivum (bread wheat). RNAcentral's name for it is "partial small subunit ribosomal RNA". Lineage: Eukaryota; Viridiplantae; Streptophyta; Magnoliopsida; Poales; Poaceae. The record is from RNAcentral.
AUGCAUGUUGAUACUAUAAUGGAAUCUCGUGAUGCAACAUUUUUUGAGAACAUAUUUCCUAUGAAAGAUAUGCAUAGCAUUGCUAGAUUUUCUUCUGAGAUAAUUCCUGAAUCUAGUACAACUGAUGAAUAUUUCGAACAAUCACAUGAGGAAGUCCUUGAGAAGGAUAACAAUGAAGUUCCUAGAAGGAACAAGAGACAAAGGAUUGCAAAAUCCUUUGGUGAUGAUUUCAUUGUAUACCUUGUGGACGACACACCCAAGACGAUUGCAGAAGCAUAUGCAUCUCCGGAUGUAGAUGAUUGGAAAGAAGCUGUUCAUAAUGAGAUGGACUCAAUUCUUUCUAAUGGAACUUGGGAACUAACUGAUAGACCAUAUGGUUGUAAACCUGUGGGCUGUAAGUGGGUGUUCAAAAAGAAGCUAAAGCCUGAUGGUACUAUUGAUAAGUACAAGGCGCGGCUAGUGGCCAAGGGCUACACUCAGAAAGAAGGCGAAGAUUACUUUGACACCUAUUCACCCGUUGCUAGAAUGACCACCAUUCGAGUGUUACUUUCCUUGGCUGCCUCUUAUGGUCUUAUCAUUCAUCAAAUGGAUGUAAAGACAUCUUUUCUCAAUGGAGAGUUGGAAGAGGAGAUCUAUAUGGAUCAGCCUGACGGGUUUGUGGUAAAGGGUGAAGAGAGAAAGGUGUGCAAGUUGUUAAAAUCUUUGUAUGGUCUGAAACAGGCACCUAAGCAAUGGCAUGAGAAGUUUGAAAGAACUCUGACUUCUGCAGGAUUUGUCAUUAACGAGGCUGAUAGGUGUGUUUACUAUCGCCAUGGUGGGGGCAAUAGUGUCAUAUUAUGUUUGUAUGUGGACGACAUACUGAUCUUUGGUACAAACAUUAAUGCAAUUAAUGAGGUCAAGUCUUUUCUAUCAAAAAGUUUUGACAUGAAAGAUCUGGGAGAAGCCGAUGUAAUUCUAAACAUCAAACUUAUUAAGGAUGAGAGUGGGAUUACAUUAACGCAAUCUCACUAUGUUGAGAAGGUCUUGAACCGAUUCGGUUUUAUGGAUAGCAAGCCUUCUCCAACACCUUAUGAUCCCAGCGUGACACUCGGAAAGAACAAGAAAGAAACGAGAGAUCAAUUAAGAUACUCUCAAAUUGUCGGUUCACUCAUGUACUUAGCUAGCGCUACAAGACCAGAUAUCUCUUUUGCUGUGAGCAAACUGAGUAGGUUCAUGUCCAACCCGGGUGAUGAUCAUUGGCAUGCACUAGAAAGGGUCUUGCGCUAUCUGAGAGGUACUAUGAGUUACGGAAUUACUUAUUCAGGGCAUCCUGCUGUGCUAGAAGGAUAUAGUGAUUCAAACUGGAUCUCCGAUGUUGAUGUACUUUACGCAACAAGUGGGUAUGUAUUUACUCAUGGUGGUGGCGCAGUGUCAUGGAGACACGUGAAAAGACGUUUGAAGUCUGUCAGGAAGUUGAGAAACUCCGGAGUAAUAACUGUUACGUAUAUACAAACAGACAAAAACCUGGCAGAUCCCUUUACAAAGGGACUAUCACGAAAUGUGAUAGAUAUUGCAUCGAGGGAGAUGGGUAUGAGACCCAUA